Molecule: ribosomal RNA, 342 nt
Filed under: uncultured Anaerolineaceae bacterium
Lineage: Bacteria; Bacillati; Chloroflexota; Anaerolineae; Anaerolineales; Anaerolineaceae
Description: bacterial SSU rRNA
Rfam family: Bacterial small subunit ribosomal RNA
Source: RNAcentral
UUGUACAGGUGCUGCAUGGCUGUCGUCAGCUCGUGUCGUGAGAUGUUCGGUUAAGUCCGCUAACGAGCGCAACCCUCGCUUGUGUGUUACAAGUGUCACACGGAACUGCCGGUACAUAAACCGGAGGAAGGUGGGGAUGACGUCAAGUCAGCAUGGCCUUUAUAUCCUGGGCUACACACACGCUACAAUGGGAAGGGACAAUAGGUUGCGAAGCCGCGAGGCGGAGCCAAUCCAGCAAAACUUCCCUCAGUUCAGAUUGCAGGCUGCAACCCGCCUGCAUGAAGAUGGAGUUGCUAGUAACCGCAGGUCAGCUAUACUGCGGUGAAUACGUUCCCGGGGCUU